RNAcentral lists this ribosomal RNA (736 nucleotides) under uncultured bacterium. RNAcentral describes it as "bacterial SSU rRNA". It matches the Rfam family "Bacterial small subunit ribosomal RNA", at positions 773 to 1504 of the family's 1533-position model. The record is from RNAcentral.
CAGGAUUAGAUACCCUGGUAGUCCUAGCCGUAAACGAUGGGCACUAGGUGUGGGAGGUGCUGACCCCUCUCGUGCCGAAGCUAACGCAUUAAGUGCCCCGCCUGGGGAGUACGSCCGCAAGGCUGAAACUCAAAGGAAUUGACGGGGGCCCGCACAAGCGGUGGAGCAUGUGGUUUAAUUCGAUGCAACGCGAARAACCUUACCGGGGCUUGACAUGCAGAGGACAGGUGCGGAAACGUACCCUCCCCUUUCGGGGCUUCUGCACAGGUGCUGCAUGGCUGUCGUCAGCUCGUGUCGUGAGAUGUUGGGUUAAGUCCCGCAACGAGCGCAACCCUUGUCCCUAGUUGCCAGCGGGUAAUGCCGGGCACCCUAGGGAGACUGCCGGUGGUAAGCCGGAGGAAGGUGGGGAUGACGUCAAGUCCUCAUGGCCCUUAUGCCCCGGGCUACACACGUGCUACAAUGGCCGGUACAGAGGGUUGCAAUACCGCGAGGUGGAGCCAAUCCCCGAAAGCCGGCCUCAGUUCGGAUUGCAGUCUGCAACUCGACUGCAUGAAGGUGGAAUCGCUAGUAAUCGCGAAUCAGCAGGUCGCGGUGAAUACGUUCCCGGGCCUUGUACACACCGCCCGUCAAGCCACGAAAGUCGGUAGUACCCGAAGUCGCUGUCCCAACCCGCAAGGGAGGGAGGCGCCGAAGGUAAGACCGGCGAUUGGGGCUAAGUCGACACAAGGUAGCCGUA